UACGAAGGGGGCUAGCGUUGCUCGGAAUCACUGGGCGUAAAGCGCACGUAGGCGGAUCCUUAAGUCGGGGGUGAAAUCCUGGAGCUCAACUCCAGAACUGCCUUUGAUACUGAAGAUCUUGAGUUCGGGAGAGGUGAGUGGAACUGCGAGUGUAGAGGUGAAAUCCGUAGAUAUUUGCAAGAACACCAGUGGCGAGGGCGGCUCACUGGCCCGAUACUGACGCUGAGGUGCGAAAGCGUGGGGAGCAAACAGG
RNAcentral lists this ribosomal RNA (253 nucleotides) under uncultured bacterium. RNAcentral describes it as "partial 16S ribosomal RNA". It matches the Rfam family "Bacterial small subunit ribosomal RNA", at positions 524 to 776 of the family's 1533-position model. The record is from RNAcentral.